UACGUAGGUGGCAAGCGUUGUCCGGAAUUAUUGGGCGUAAAGAGUGCGUAGGCGGUCUAUUAAGUUCCAUUUGAAAGCCCAUGGCUUAACCAUGGAGGGUGAUGGGAAACUGGUAGACUUGAGUACAGGAGAGGAAGGUGGAAUUCCACGUGUAGCGGUGAAAUGCGUAGAUAUGUGGAGGAACACCAGUGGCGAAGGCGGCCUUCUGGCCUGAGUCUGACGCUGAGGCACGAAAGCGUGGGUAGCAAACAGG
RNAcentral lists this ribosomal RNA (253 nucleotides) under uncultured bacterium. Its description in RNAcentral is "partial 16S ribosomal RNA". It matches the Rfam family "Bacterial small subunit ribosomal RNA", at positions 524 to 776 of the family's 1533-position model. The record is from RNAcentral.